GUGGAGAGAGGAGUCGGGUGCCAGAGUAUUCCUGCUUCUACAGUGUGCCUCCUUGAGCCUCCUGCACCUCCGCCCUAUCUCUGCCACGCUGCCACGCUCUCCCUCCGGACACUCACCUGCCUUCACCCCGAGCCUCACGCUUCACUCCUGCUUCUCCUGGAUCUCACCCUCACCUUGGAUUCUAGAUCAAUCAUCCUCCACCUCACCGUUAAAGCAAUAAAAUCACUUCAACUGCU
Notolabrus celidotus (New Zealand spotty) is the source of this 236-nucleotide long non-coding RNA. RefSeq lists it as uncharacterized. NCBI's taxonomy places the organism in Eukaryota, Metazoa, Chordata, Actinopteri, Labriformes, Labridae. The record is from RefSeq and is a predicted model, not a curated record. The transcript is spliced from 2 exons.